UCUCGUUCGCUCUCUCUCUCUCCCCCCUCCCUCUUCUGAACGGCCGCCGAUGCCGCGCUGCCCGUCGUCGCUGCCGCUCUCCUAUCCUUCCCCGCGCCGCCGGCAGCUCCAGCGACUGGCACCCUCUCCCUCUCGUCCUUCCUCCUGCCCCUCUGGGUCGUCCUGCCCCGCGACCCGACCCCGGCCAAACCCUAGACAUCGGAUAGCUCCAAUUCCUCCCUUUCCCUUCCUCUCUCUUCUUUCCUUCGCCCAACGUCCGCUCCAAGCGCCGCCGCCGCCGCUCAAGCCUUACGGCGCCACCGCCACUCUCCCGUCCUUCCUCCCCUGCUCGUUGUUCCGGAAACCCCCUCCACCCUUGUGCCGCACCACGUGCCCGACCCCGAGCCGCCCCCUCCCUUUCCUCUUUCUCCCUCCCCGGACCCCGGCGGCCGCCACGGCUGCCCCCCGUCUUCCAUUCGUCCUCCCUCCCUCCUGCUUUCCAUCUCCCCACUGCUCAACCCUGCGAACGUCCUCGCUGCCUAUGCUUCCUCACGACCCAGCCCUGCCGAACCCUAGACGCUGGCAUACACGCAUUCCACCAGCAGUGGCCACUUGCGUCGGCCAGCCCCGGCAUCAACGAUCAUCCUGCGUGCCGACGCACCGCCACCGCUGCUGAGGUCCUCACUAUCUUCAGCAGGGGCCUCCCCAUCGCCAUUAAUGAGUGGGAGCUGCACAACCUGCUGCUGGUUCCCGACCUCUUGGGAUUCGAGGCCUCUUCGCCUCCGUGCACCAGGACGUCACCACCAAGGUUAGCUUCUGUUUGCUUCUCUCCAUGGCAAGUGACGCUUGGAUGGGUGAGAUUUGACCCUGGUUAUCAUUAAUCUGCAUUAUUUGGGUGUUCGAUGCGGAGAGCAAGCAGUACUGCAAACCAACAUGGCCUAGAAUUCGUUUAGAGAGGUGGGGUUCGUCUACCAAAAUUGUGCACACGUUAUACAUAGUAGUUCUACAUUAUUUAAGGAAAGUUUGAAACUAACUGAUUAGUGUUGCAAUGUUGAGCUUCUAUUUGGUUCAAAAUUCUAUUGGUAGAUACUUGUGAUGUGGAUAAAUUGAGGCUGAUAAAUAAAGUUUGCAGGCUUUAGUGAACAUUGUUGGCCAUCAAUGGAUGAUGUGGUGGGUGUGAGAGUAAGUGUGGGCUAUAGUUUAGGCAUCAAAAAAUUUGUGGAAGUUAAUACUUCUUCAGUGACACAUCAAACUUGAUAGGAAACCCCGUUGUUUAGGUCACACAGGGUCUGUAUCCUGGAUCUACUACUUGAGGAAGGCUUUGUCAUUUUUUAUUUGUUAAACAUACUGGUCUAACAAACUUUCCACGCCUUGAUAACUGUUGGAAUUUUAGUGUGGGCACUGAUGUUCCUGUUCUUUUGUUAAGCUUCUACGGGUAGAAAGGUUUGGACUAUACUUGACAACCUUGGUAUUGAAGUUUUUUUUUCCUGCUACCUGUCAUAUGGCAGGCCUCAACUUCUCUUUUCAGACAUGGAAACAAACUGACAUUUGCCCCAUGUACCAUGUUCAUAGGCAGGACUCUACUUGUCUAUGCAAUGGAUAAUCCAGAUGAAGGAUAAAUAGAUUGCGGUAAUUUCAGAGAAGUUGAGUUCUCAUCUUGUUUUAUUUAAUUUGGUAGAAAAGGAAGUUCCAGCAGUGAAACAAGUACUAGGUGAUGUGCAUUGUCUGGUUGGUGAGAAGGAAAGUGUAGAUACGAUUAUGAUCACACCUGGCACUUGCAUUCUCCCAUCAUCUGGCAACUUCAUUUUGAUUAUUAUAUUUCCAUGCUUCUCUGAUGUGUAUUCUUUAUGCAUUAUUGUCCCUUUCACUGUUAUUUCAGUUUGUGACUUGGAAGGAUAAGGUCCAAAGGGUUACUGUGAUUCAGAAAGAUUUUGUAGAGAAACUUAAUUUCUUGGAAAGUAAAAUCAGUGCUUACCGGUUUGAACUCCGGAAUAUGGCAAGGAUCAUAUAUGAGUUGAAAGAUUGCCUUGAGGUUGAGAAGCGUAACAACAGUUUUAUUCCCCAACUGGAUGAAAUAUCCGUUAACUAAGUUAAAAUAAAUUGCAUAUAUUUGAUCUCCAGUUUCUAUCAAAAUCAUGACAUUUGUUGUUUUGUGCCUUAAUGAUGUUACCUGAAGUCUGAAGAAAGCUUUGCUGUUGAAGGGUGAAAUUAUUGAGAUAUUAACUUCAGAAAAGCAAUGCAUGGGGCUUCACAGCAUCGAGGUUGCUUUACAGAAAUUUCAAGAUUUAUGAAGUAGCAUUGGGCAUGAGGGAACUAUUUUGGGAAGUCUGUACAUAGUGUGAAUAAUGAGCAACCUGAAAGGUGAGUGUUUCAUUAAACAUUCAGCUCUCGUGGUAAUAAAUUUGAUUUUUUUGUUAUGUAACAAUCAGUAUAUGCUACUUGGUGAGGCCAUUAGCAUUCCAGGCACACAAUCUGGUCUAGCCAACAGAUUCUGUGAAUCCGGAUCUUGACUCGGAGAACCAGUCCAGACCCUGCAAUUUGGAUCCCUUCGCAGCAUGAGUUGGAUACACAAAGUUGCACAUUCUAGUGGCCAAUAGUCGCAGCACAUUUGUCCUGUACUCAUAGUUGAUCAUCCUUAUAUUUUGUGAGCUGAUCAUCCCGUGACCUUUUAGGUAGCCACUAAAGAGAGAUGCCAUGUAAUUUGAGAUGCUUUGUACACGUUUUGGAUUCUGUUAGCUUGCUGUGUUAAGUGUUAACGGUAUUGUUGUACAUUGUAGUUCGUUGAACAUCAAUCUUUUUAAUGAAAGUUUUACAUAACUGGUCAGAA
Setaria italica (foxtail millet) is the source of this 2806-nucleotide long non-coding RNA. RefSeq lists it as uncharacterized. The record is from RefSeq and is a predicted model, not a curated record. The transcript has 4 exons. NCBI's taxonomy places the organism in Eukaryota, Viridiplantae, Streptophyta, Magnoliopsida, Poales, Poaceae.